AGUAAUGCUUGGGAAUCUAGCUUAUGGAGGGGGAUAACUACGGGAAACUGUAGCUAAUACCGCGUAAUAUCGAGAGAUUAAAGUGUGGGACCUUCGGGCCACAUGCCAUAGGAUGAGCCCAAGUGGGAUUAGGUAGUUGGUGAGGUAAAGGCUCACCAAGCCGACGAUCUCUAGCUGGUCUGAGAGGAUGACCAGCCACACUGGGACUGAGACACGGCCCAG
Molecule: ribosomal RNA, 222 nt
Filed under: uncultured bacterium
Lineage: Bacteria
Description: partial 16S ribosomal RNA
Rfam family: Bacterial small subunit ribosomal RNA
Source: RNAcentral